AGGUAGAAAUUUUUAAGCCAAGUUAAGAAAUUUGGAAUUUAUCCUGUAGGCAAAGCCCAUGAAGAACUAUCAGCACACUUUAUGCAGGGUAGUAAUGUGAUCCAAUUUCCAUUUUUGAUAGGUCAUUCUGGCACCUGUUCACAGGGUAGGUUUUAAGAGGACAAGAUAAGUCAGAAAGGAAAAUAAGUGAAAGAUUUCGCUAGCAAAAUGCUGGCAAAAAAAAAGAGAAAUAUUUAGAAGGUAAAAUCAGAAUAACCUGGAGAUUGAUUGGACGAAGAAAAGGUAAACACGAAGACUAGGAUCUGCUUACCAGCUGGUGACUAUAGCAAGCAGGAGGCCAGGUGCAGCCAUUUGCCAUGAAGGUAAAGAGAGAGCUGAACUGGAGCAAUCUAGACUUCUGGGUGGCGAGGAUGCAAGUGCUUCCCACCGACUCACAGAUGCAACGGAAGAAAGGAGAGACACAAUGUCUUAUCACCUGUGUUUUAUCUGAUUUUGAUUGGGAAUUCCAGUCUCUUAUUCUGUUGAAGACAUACUGAAACCAGAUAAAGGAUUUCAAGGCAAAGAACAGGAAACAGAUGACAUGAUCCUAUAUGAAGAUACAAAGGAAUAACAGAAAUUUUACUAGAACUAAUAAAGGACUUUAGCAAGAUUGCAAGAUCAAAAUACAAAAAUUAAUUGUAUCUCUAUAUGCUAGCAAUGAAUAAUCAGAAAUUGAAAUUAAGAAAACAAUUCCUUCACAAUAACAGCAAAGAAAAUAAAAUACUUAGAAAUAAACUUAACAGAAGAAAUGCAAGACUUACACACUGCAAAUGAUAAAACAUCAUUGAAAGAAAUUAAAGAGGACCUAAAUAAAUGGAAGGACAUUUCAUGUUCAUGCACUGGAAGAUUAAAUAUUGCCAAGAAGGCAUUUCUCUCCAUAUUGACCUAU
This 928-nucleotide long non-coding RNA is filed under the name Equus caballus (horse). RNAcentral's name for it is "lncRNA (ENSECAG00000046834.1)". Lineage: Eukaryota; Metazoa; Chordata; Mammalia; Perissodactyla; Equidae. The record is from RNAcentral.